Molecule: ribosomal RNA, 439 nt
Filed under: uncultured bacterium
Lineage: Bacteria
Description: bacterial SSU rRNA
Rfam family: Bacterial small subunit ribosomal RNA
Source: RNAcentral
CCUACGGGGGGCAGCAGUGGGGAAUAUUGCACAAUGGGGGAAACCCUGAUGCAGCAACGCCGCGUGAGCGAUGAAGGCUUUCGAGUCGUAAAGCUCUGUCCUAAGGGAAGAUAAUGACGGUACCUUAGGAGGAAGCCCCGGCUAACUACGUGCCAGCAGCCGCGGUAAUACGUAGGGGGCAAGCGUUAUCCGGAAUCAUUGGGCGUAAAGGGUGCGUAGGCGGCCCUAUAGGUCAGAGGUCAAAGGCUACGGCUCAACCGUAGUAAGCCUUUGAAACUGUAGGGCUUGAGUGCAGGAGAGGAGAGUGGAAUUCCUAGUGUAGCGGUGAAAUGCGUAGAUAUUAGGAGGAACACCAGUGGCGAAGGCGACUCUCUGGACUGCAACUGACGCUGAGGCACGAAAGCGUGGGGAGCGAACAGGAUUAGAUACCCUUGUAGUC